ACGUCCUACGAUACCGUUUAAUUAUAUCGUUUUAUGUUCUACGACGGUCAAUUACGAACAAAUUAUAACGUUCUUACGAUACCUACUUGACAUGACGUGCUAUUAUUUUACAAACGCUAUGUAAUAUCGCGGUGUACACGGGAACGUUAUAGUAUAUUAUAUUGAAUUUUUUACGGAAUUUUUAGGAGACAAUUAUUACCUAUAUCAAUUUC
Molecule: non-coding RNA, 212 nt
Organism: Cinara cedri
Lineage: Eukaryota; Metazoa; Arthropoda; Insecta; Hemiptera; Aphididae
Source: the annotation of a GenBank genome assembly